Molecule: non-coding RNA, 253 nt
Filed under: uncultured bacterium
Lineage: Bacteria
Also listed under: 1 other name
Description: partial 16S ribosomal RNA
Rfam family: Bacterial small subunit ribosomal RNA
Source: RNAcentral
UACGUAGGGUGCAAGCGUUGUCCGGAUUUAUUGGGUUUAAAGGGUGCGUAGGCGGGCUAUUAAGUCAGUGGUGAAAUCCAACAGCUCAACUGUUGAUGUGCCAUUGAUACUGGUAGCCUUGAGUACAGAUGAGGUAGGCGGAAUUGACAGUGUAGCGGUGAAAUGCAUAGAUAUUGUCAAGAACUCCGAUAGCGAAGGCAGCUUACUGGGCUGUAACUGACGCUGAUGCACGAAAGUGUGGGGAUCAAACAGG